This 492-nucleotide ribosomal RNA is filed under the name uncultured bacterium. Its description in RNAcentral is "partial 16S ribosomal RNA". It matches the Rfam family "Bacterial small subunit ribosomal RNA", at positions 29 to 507 of the family's 1533-position model. The record is from RNAcentral.
AGUGAACGCUGGCGGUAGGCCUAACACAUGCAAGUCGAACGGCAGCACAGUAAGAGCUUGCUCUUACGGGUGGCGAGUGGCGGACGGGUGAGGAAUACAUCGGAAUCUACUUUUUCGUGGGGGAUAACGUAGGGAAACUUACGCUCAUACCGCAUACGACCUACGGGUGAAAGCAGGGGAUCUUCGGACCUUGCGCGAUUGAAUGAGCCGAUGUCGGAUUAGCUAGUUGGCGGGGUAAAGGCCCACCAAGGCGACGAUCCGUAGUUGGUCUGAGAGGAUGAUCAGCCACACUGGAACUGAGACACGGUCCAGACUCCUACGGGAGGCAGCAGUGGGGAAUAUUGGACAAUGGGCGCAAGCCUGAUCCAGCCAUACCGCGUGUGUGAAGAAGGCCUUCGGGUUGUAAAGCCCUUUUGUUGGGAAAGAAAAGCAGCAGGUUAAUACCCCGCUGUUCUGACGGUACCCAAAGAAUAAGCACCGGCUAACUUCGUG